UACUUCCUGGAAUGCUCGAUAUCCCGUUAUUUUGAACCUACAACAUUUUCAAGGGAUUCCUAUUAUUCGUAACUGGCUGUCAUGCCGCCUGGCGGAAGGCAAAAGGUUAUGUGCGGUUGCCCACCUAGCUCAGCUAGGAAUCAAAAUCCGGGAGUCGGCAUUUUGGGAAUAAA
This 173-nucleotide non-coding RNA is filed under the name Parasporobacterium paucivorans DSM 15970. RNAcentral describes it as "6S / SsrS RNA". It matches the Rfam family "6S / SsrS RNA". From Rfam's summary of the family: E. coli 6S RNA was the first non coding RNA to be sequenced, but its function was unknown until recently. It consists of 184 nucleotides that fold into an extended hairpin structure with a large single-stranded internal bulge. The 6S RNA specifically associates with RNA polymerase holoenzyme containing the sigma70 specificity factor. The record is from Rfam by way of RNAcentral. Lineage: Bacteria; Bacillati; Bacillota; Clostridia; Lachnospirales; Lachnospiraceae.